This 468-nucleotide ribosomal RNA is filed under the name uncultured bacterium. Its description in RNAcentral is "partial 16S ribosomal RNA". It matches the Rfam family "Bacterial small subunit ribosomal RNA", at positions 28 to 507 of the family's 1533-position model. The record is from RNAcentral.
GAUGAACGCUGGCGGCGUGCUUAACACAUGCAAGUCGAGCGGUGAAGGCGGAGCUUGCUCUGCUGGAUCAGUGGCGAACGGGUGAGUAACACGUGAGCAAUCUGCCCCUGACUCUGGGAUAAGCGCUGGAAACGGCGGCUAAUACUGGAUACGAGCUGCGAAGGCAUCUUCAGCAGCUGGAAAGAACUUCGGUCAGGGAUGAGCUCGCGGCCUAUCAGCUUGUUGGGGAGGUAACGGCUCACCAAGGCGUCGACGGGUAGCCGGCCUGAGAGGGUGACCGGCCACACUGGGACUGAGACACGGCCCAGACUCCUACGGGAGGCAGCAGUGGGGAAUAUUGCACAAUGGGCGAAAGCCUGAUGCAGCAACGCCGCGUGAGGGACGACGGCCUUCGGGUUGUAAACCUCUUUUAGCAGGGAAGAAGCGAAAGUGACGGUACCUGCAGAAAAAGCGCCGGCUAACUACGUG